AUCAACUUUCGAUGGUAGGAUAGAGGCCUUCCAUGGUUGUAACGGGUAACGGGGAAUUAGGGUUCGAUUCCGGAUAGGGAGCCUGAGAAACGGCUACCACUUCCAAGGAAGGCAGCAGGCGCGCAAAUUACCCAAUCCCGACACGGGGAGGUAGUGACAAUAAAUAACAAUACGGGGCUCUUUCGGGUCUCGUAAUUGGAAUGAGUACAAUUUAAAUCCCUUAACGAGGAACAAUUGGAGGGCAAGUCUGGUGCCAGCAGCCGCGGUAAUUCCAGCUCCAAUAGCGUAUAUUAAAGUUGUUGCAGUUAAAAAGCUCGUAGUUGAAUUUCGGGAUUGACCUGCCGGUCAUGCCUUAAGGGGUAUGAACUGUUACUGUUGAUUUCACACCUUCUGGAGAAACUUGAUGUCCUUUAUUGGGUGUCUUGCGGAUCCAGGACCUUUACCUUGAAAAAAUUAGAGUGUUUAAAGCAGGCAUUUUUGCUCGAAUACAUUAGCAUGGAAUAAUAGAAUAGGACGGCAUGGUUCUAUUUUGUUGGUUUCUAGGAUCACCGUAAUGAUUAAUAGGGAUAGUUGGGGGCAUUAGUAUUCAAUUGUCAGAGGUGAAAUUCUUGGAUUUAUUGAAGACUAACUACUGCGAAAGCAUUUGCCAAGGAUGUUUUCAUUAAUCAAGAACGAAAGUUAGGGGAUCGAAGACGAUCAGAUACCGUCGUAGUCUUAACCAUAAACUAUGCCGACUAGGGAUCGGACGAAGUUAAUUUUAUAAUGACGCGUUCGGCACCUUACGGGAAACCAAAGUGUUUGGGUUC
RNAcentral lists this ribosomal RNA (806 nucleotides) under uncultured Entrophospora. RNAcentral's name for it is "SSU rRNA". It matches the Rfam family "Eukaryotic small subunit ribosomal RNA", at positions 314 to 1114 of the family's 1831-position model. Lineage: Eukaryota; Fungi; Glomeromycota; Glomeromycetes; Entrophosporales; Entrophosporaceae. The record is from RNAcentral.